Molecule: ribosomal RNA, 440 nt
Filed under: uncultured bacterium
Lineage: Bacteria
Description: partial 16S ribosomal RNA
Rfam family: Bacterial small subunit ribosomal RNA
Source: RNAcentral
CCUACGGGAGGCAGCAGUGGGGAAUAUUGCACAAUGGGGGAAACCCUGAUGCAGCGACGCCGCGUGAGUGAAGAAGUAUUUCGGUAUGUAAAGCUCUAUCAGCAGGGAAGAAAAUGACGGUACCUGACUAAGAAGCCCCGGCUAACUACGUGCCAGCAGCCGCGAUAAUACGUAGGGGGCAAGCGUUAUCCGGAUUUACUGGGUGUAAAGGGUGCGUAGGUGGUAGGGCAAGUCAGAGGUGAAAGCCCGGGGCUCAACCCCGGGACUGCAUUUGAAACUGUUCAGCUGGAGUGCAGGAGCGGUAGGCGGAAUGCCUGGUGUAGCGGUGAAAUGCGUAGAUAUCAGGAGGAACACCAGUGGCGAAGGCGGCUUACUGGACUGCAACUGACGUUGAGGCACGAAAGCGUGGGGAGCAAACAGGAUUAGAUACCCCUGUAGUC